Molecule: long non-coding RNA, 627 nt
Filed under: Malus domestica (apple)
Lineage: Eukaryota; Viridiplantae; Streptophyta; Magnoliopsida; Rosales; Rosaceae
Description: long non-coding RNA (MDOM_LNC012780)
Source: RNAcentral
CAUCCAUACAUCGAUUCAAUUGUCCUGAAAGGUUUCUUCCAAAGAUUGACUUUCAGGGCAUAUUUCCAACAAUCUAGCAAGGAAUCAACAGGUUUCCUAUAAUCUUAGAGUCCUUACAAUUUAAGUAUUUUAAGGAUUAUAUUUGGUAGUCAUAAUUAGUGUGGUGAUUCGUGUGGUGAUCAGAAUGAUAAUGGGAUUAGUAUACAAAUAUAGGUGAGGUGAUACGAAUUGAUGUUUUGAUCAUGAUGGUUUGUAAAAGAGAUUAGGUUGUGUGAGAUAAAACUAUGUGCAUCAUCUUGGGACUUGAUGUGAUAAUGCAGAGGGAGUAUUGCAAUUUUUUUUGCAUAUGGUUACAUAAUUGUAUUUGGACAUACAACUUGAAAAAAUUAGGUCUUUUGGUUGGAGUAUGGAAUAUCAUUUAAGGAUCAUCUGAUCUUUUAUUUGAAAUUAGUUAGCGUGGAAUGAUUGGUAUAAUCAGGAGGAGCUGCAAGGCUAAGCAAUUCGAUCUUAUAAGUACGAGACCGUUGGCAAUGUGGGAAGCCCCUUCAACUCAAUAAACAACUAAACACUCUACGUAAAAACUCUCGCUCUACGCGAAAACCUUCUCACACACAUAAGAAAAACACU